RNAcentral lists this unclassified non-coding RNA (209 nucleotides) under Hevea brasiliensis (rubber tree). The record is from RNAcentral. Lineage: Eukaryota; Viridiplantae; Streptophyta; Magnoliopsida; Malpighiales; Euphorbiaceae.
GUUAAGUUGUAAUUACUUGGAAGAGUUCUCAAUCCGUGAGGGAGAGAAAAGGAGAAGUCUGGCCUUGAGCUACCAGGCAAAGCAGGAGGAAAUACACUGCUAAUUAAGCCCUUAGCAGAGCAGAGCAGAGCAGAGCUGAGAAAUUAAGCAUGGAAAGAAGCAUAGUUCCCGAAUUAUUAGAUUUAAAACAAGAUAACUAUCAAAAGUGG